Non-coding RNA from Camellia sinensis, 195 nucleotides. The record is from RefSeq and is a predicted model, not a curated record. NCBI's taxonomy places the organism in Eukaryota, Viridiplantae, Streptophyta, Magnoliopsida, Ericales, Theaceae.
UGAACGCGAAAAGAGGUUGCAAGAGCAAGCUAAGAAGAUUGAAAACUUGAGUUCAAUGGUGUUGUACUCAAAUAGGGAUGAGAAUCGUGAUCAGCCCAAGAAGGGGAAGAGGCGUGAUACCUGGUGCUUUGGUAAUCUUUCAAGGGAGACUCUUGGGGAAUUGAAUUCAAUAGUCCAUGCAAAGGCAUCUGCUGU